UGGUGCACAUGUUCUGAAUGAGGCGC
RNAcentral lists this non-coding RNA (26 nucleotides) under Homo sapiens (human). Lineage: Eukaryota; Metazoa; Chordata; Mammalia; Primates; Hominidae. The record is from RNAcentral.